This 472-nucleotide ribosomal RNA is filed under the name uncultured bacterium. RNAcentral describes it as "bacterial SSU rRNA". It matches the Rfam family "Bacterial small subunit ribosomal RNA", at positions 355 to 825 of the family's 1533-position model. The record is from RNAcentral.
UGGGGAAUAUUGGACAAUGGGCGAAAGCCUGAUCCAGCCAUGCCGCGUGUGUGAAGAAGGUCUUCGGAUUGUAAAGCACUUUAAGUUGGGAGGAAGGGCAGUAACCUAAUACGUUGCUGUCUUGACGUUACCGACAGAAUAAGCACCGGCUAACUACGUGCCAGCAGCCGCGGUAAUACGUAGGGACCAAGCGUUGUUCGGAUUUACUGGGCGUAAAGGGCGCGUAGGCGGCAAUUCAAGUCAUCUGUGAAAUCUCCGGGCUUAACUCGGAACGGUCAGAUGAUACUGCUUUGCUAGAGUGCAGAAGGGGCAAUCGGAAUUCUUGGUGUAGCGGUGAAAUGCGUAGAUAUCAAGAGGAACACCUGAGGUGAAGACGGGUUGCUGGGCUGACACUGACGCUGAGGCGCGAAAGCCAGGGGAGCAAACGGGAUUAGAUACCCCUGUAGUCCCUGAGCGGGCUGGCAAGGCGCAU